Molecule: transfer RNA, 81 nt
Filed under: Chlorobiota bacterium
Lineage: Bacteria; Pseudomonadati; Chlorobiota
Description: tRNA-Ser
Rfam family: tRNA
About the family: Transfer RNA (tRNA) molecules are approximately 80 nucleotides in length. Their secondary structure includes four short double-helical elements and three loops (D, anti-codon, and T loops).
Source: RNAcentral
GGGAUGCCGGAGCGGUUGAACGGGGCGGUCUCGAAAACCGUUGUGCUCGCAAGGGCACCGGGGGUUCGAAUCCCCCUCCCA